This 529-nucleotide ribosomal RNA is filed under the name uncultured bacterium. RNAcentral's name for it is "bacterial SSU rRNA". It matches the Rfam family "Bacterial small subunit ribosomal RNA", at positions 777 to 1304 of the family's 1533-position model. The record is from RNAcentral.
AAUAGAUACCCGGGUAGUCCACGCCGUAAACGAUGAGUGCUAAGUGUUAGAGGGUUUCCGCCCUUUAGUGCUGCAGCUAACGCAUUAAGCACUCCGCCUGGGGAGUACGGUCGCAAGACUGAAACUCGAAGGAAUUGACGGGGGCCCGCACAAGCGGUGGAGCAUGUGGUUUAAUUCGAAGCAACGCGAAGAACCUUACCAGGUCUUGACAUCCUCUGACAACUCUAGAGAUAGAGCAUUCCCCUUCGGGGGACAGAGUGACAGGUGGUGCAUGGUUGUCGUCAGCUCGUGUCGUGAGAUGUUGGGUUAAGUCCCGCAACGAGCGCAACCCUUGAUCUUAGUUGCCAGCAUUUAGUUGGGCACUCUAAGGUGACUGCCGGUGACAAACCGGAGGAAGGUGGGGAUGACGUCAAAUCAUCAUGCCCCUUAUGACCUGGGCUACACACGUGCUACAAUGGAUGGUACAAAGGGCUGCAAGACCGCGAGGUCAAGCCAAUCCCAUAAAACCAUCCUCAGUUCGGAUUGUAGG